Molecule: long non-coding RNA, 1228 nt
Organism: Alligator mississippiensis (American alligator)
Lineage: Eukaryota; Metazoa; Chordata; Crocodylia; Alligatoridae
Exons: 2
Source: RefSeq, a predicted model, not a curated record
AGGGCUGGCCACUGAGGAAGAAGUCAGGGAGAGGCUGGAGCUGUGGCCCUGGGAGCGCUGUGGGUUCGGCCAUGCAGGGGAGAGCUGGGGCGGGGAGCGGAGACUUGCCCUGGGUGGGAGCGCAUUGCCCUUGCCCUGGGUGGGAGCACAGGACCUUGAGCUGCUGUUAGUUGAGGGAGGUGGGUGGGAAGCUGGAUCCUGGCAUUUUGGGGAAGGAGGAGGGAUUGGACGCUCCUUUCACCCCACUUAUCUCAGGGCCCUUUUCUUUCCUACCCGGGGGGCAGACAGCCCGUGUGAUGUUUGCUGAGCUGACCUGCAGGGAGCCUGAUGGACCCAGGGGAUGGGAACGGGGCUGUGCCGGGUUCACUGCUCUGGGAAGGAAGCGCGUUAGAGCAGAGCAGGCGUGAGGACCAGGACUUGCAGGUUGUGCCCUGCUCUGGCUCUUCGAAAGGAGUGCUGUCCAGCAUGCCAUAGUGAGGGGCAUGGUUUGGGAGGACUCCUGGGUCCUGUUUCUAGCUGAGGGAAGGAGGGAAGGGGUGGGAGGAAGGCUUUGUGGCUCAGGACUCCUGGCUUCUUUUGGGGAUGUCACUUCCCCAGAAUGAACCCACAAAUCAUCUGUGCAUUGAGUCAAUCGAUCCCUUGGGUGAUGCUGUCAGCACGUACAUGGAGCGGUGAUCAACGUGAGCCAUGAUGCACGACUGAUCCCGCAGACCAGCUGCCAGCUCUGGGUGGUGGAGGAGCAGUCCAUCAGCCACAUCAACGGCGACUUCGACUGCAAGCGGGAGGUGCUGGAGGCCUCGGGCCAGGUCAGCAUUAACUGGCCCCGGGAGUGACCUUGCUGUGGGGAGGCUCCUCGAGGACCUGCCCAUCCCCUCUCAGAGACCUGCCUGCACAGCUUCACGUGCGCCCACACCCAGAGGACUCCGUGUAGAGGGGGCAGGGCCGCAGGCAUGGUUGUGGUUGAACUUUGAAGAUCUGUUUUGGGGGCCUAAUGCAAGACAUGUUAUAUUUUUAGAGCUGUUCUUCUACACCUGCUGCUUUCCCAGGGGAGAGAGACUUAAUUUAUAUGAAUGGGAGGGAGGGGGUUGUACUGGAACGGUCUGUUUUAGGCAGGAGUGAGGGCUGUCCUUGUCCCAUUGCUGGGUUCCCUGCCCCCAGUCUGGAGAAUGACUUGAGCCUUGUUUUGCUUCCACCCAAGAAGAUUAUAUUAAAAUAUAAUAAAGGAAAA